CACACCUCACGUUUUUGGCUGCCUUUUAUUCGCACAGUAGUCAAUAACGGUGUGGUUUGU
MicroRNA precursor from Oreochromis aureus, 60 nucleotides. The record is from Ensembl. NCBI's taxonomy places the organism in Eukaryota, Metazoa, Chordata, Actinopteri, Cichliformes, Cichlidae.